RNAcentral lists this ribosomal RNA (253 nucleotides) under uncultured bacterium. RNAcentral's name for it is "partial 16S ribosomal RNA". It matches the Rfam family "Bacterial small subunit ribosomal RNA", at positions 524 to 776 of the family's 1533-position model. The record is from RNAcentral.
UACGUAGGGUGCAAGCGUUAAUCGGAAUUACUGGGCGUAAAGCGUGCGCAGGCGGUUUUGUAAGUCUGUCGUGAAAGCCCCGGGCUCAACCUGGGAAUUGCGAUGGAGACUGCAAGGCUUGAAUCUGGCAGAGGGGGGUAAAAUUCCACGUGUAGCAGUGAAAUGCGUAGAGAUGUGGAGGAACACCGAUGGCGAAGGCAGCCCCCUGGGUCAAGAUUGACGCUCAUGCACGAAAGCGUGGGGAGCAAACAGG